Molecule: long non-coding RNA, 672 nt
Organism: Archocentrus centrarchus (flier cichlid)
Lineage: Eukaryota; Metazoa; Chordata; Actinopteri; Cichliformes; Cichlidae
Exons: 4
Source: RefSeq, a predicted model, not a curated record
ACUCUUUACAGUGUAACUUGUCAAGUGUUAAAGGAAAUGCACUCGGUUAGAGUUACUAAAACACUAUAAUGCAGUGUUAAUGAAAAUUCUCCAAACUGAGUGUAAAAAAGUACUCUGAAAAGCUCCGCCCCCUUGCACUUUGUGCCAGACCGAAGAGAAUUUUAUCGGCGCCAUUUUCAACUUCUCCGCCUUGCUGGAAAAGUCUCGGACAGCACCACCACAACAUGUGAGAGAGAUGUAUGCUCAAGGCAUGAUUGAAAAGUUCCCAAACCUGCGUGAUCCUUAUUCCAAAAAUGGAUAUUGGCUACUUAGCAUGGAGGCUUAAAACCAUCCAGAGGAAGAGCACCUUAUCAGAGGGGAGAAGAUCAUCAUGUCAGCUGACUGGGUGUGGACCAACAGCCAGAGGAGAUGCUUCAUUUAACCCUGAGGUGACCCUAAGAGAAGAGCCAUAUAAGGAAGCUAAUUCCUUCAUGAAAUACUCUUCUGAUGAGGCCGCCAUCAGGAACAAAAUGAAGAUGAUGUUUGAUUACCGUUGCAAGAUGGUCCUGGACGAAAACAGAUCAUCCAGCGUCUUGACUGAAUUUCCUCGCUUCAGAGAUGUCAGAGGCUUGAUUGAUCAAGACUUCAUUCUGGAAUUUGGAGAAGAUGUAGCUACCAGGUUUUUGGAGAGGU